RNAcentral lists this ribosomal RNA (83 nucleotides) under Candidatus Woesebacteria bacterium. Its description in RNAcentral is "partial 16S ribosomal RNA". It matches the Rfam family "Bacterial small subunit ribosomal RNA", at positions 1 to 84 of the family's 1533-position model. Lineage: Bacteria; Candidatus Woeseibacteriota. The record is from RNAcentral.
CUUUUUGAGAGUUUGAUCCUGGCUCAGGAUGAACGCUGGCGGCGUGCCUUAAGCAUGCAAGUCGAACGAUUUCAGUAGCAAUA